UUGGCAGGCUGUGGCAAGUUGCGGCCGUCUGUGGCAGGCUGUGGCAGUCUGUGGCAGGUUUUGGCAGGCUGUGGCAGGUUUUGGCAGGCUGUGGCAGGUUUUGGCAUGAUGUGGCAGUCUGUGGCAGGAUGUGGCAGUCUUGUGGCAGGCUGUGGAACUGCGUAGCAACUGUAGCAAGAUAUUUUCAUAAUUGUAUUUCAUAUUAGAUAUGUAAAACAAGUAAUACAAACAAGGAGAUAUAGAAAAUAAGAAUAAUAUAAACACAGGGAAAUAUAAAAUAUUAAAUAUAAGAAUAAGAAUAGUACAAUAUGUACAGUAUUUUACAUUCACAUUUACACUAUGGAACAGAUAUUAAUAUAUAUUUAGAUAAUAUUAAGAAGUGCAAAACAAAGAGAAAUUGUGCAAAACUUUGUACAUUAAAAUGUGUAAACAAGUAGCUGAUUUUUCCCUUAAUUUUUAUUUUGUAUUCAUCAUGACUCCAUGGCGGAAGUGGAAAGCAGAGUGACUGUCGUAACAACAACACGGACCAGUGGGUUACUGAAGGUGAAAAAUGGAGACUUUUUUACAUCUGCAGUUUUGUGCUUCACGGAGACGUGGCUGUGUGGAUCGAUACCGGACUCUGCACUGCAGCUGGCAGGUUUCCAACUCUUCAGAGCAGAUCGUAACAUGGAACUCUCCGGCACAACUAAAGGUGGAGACAAACGUGCAGGACGUGGGCUACAGUGCACACUCGCUGACCAGAUACUGUGUGUGGAGCGGACUUACCCAGACUCCUUAGUUAUUGUCCUUGGCGACCUUAACAAAGAGUCAGCAGGGUCUUUGUAGGAGACGGACAGGGGACAGCAGGGCAGCAGGAGGCAGUGUGUGUUCAUCUUAGUGUGACCAAUAAUCAGAGAGGCUACAGAUCAAUGGACUGGAACUCGAAGGUG
Molecule: long non-coding RNA, 929 nt
Organism: Epinephelus fuscoguttatus (brown-marbled grouper)
Lineage: Eukaryota; Metazoa; Chordata; Actinopteri; Perciformes; Serranidae
Exons: 3
Source: RefSeq, a predicted model, not a curated record